RNAcentral lists this ribosomal RNA (252 nucleotides) under uncultured bacterium. RNAcentral describes it as "partial 16S ribosomal RNA". It matches the Rfam family "Bacterial small subunit ribosomal RNA", at positions 524 to 774 of the family's 1533-position model. The record is from RNAcentral.
UACAGAGGGUGCGAGCGUUAAUCGGAAUUACUGGGCGUAAAGCGCGCGUAGGCGGCUUUGCAAGUCGAGUGUGAAAUCCCCAGGCUCAACCUGGGAACUGCAUUCGAGACUGCAGUAGCUAGAGUAUGGGAGAGGGAAGUGGAAUUUCAGGUGUAGCGGUGAAAUGCGUAGAUAUCUGAAGGAACAUCAGUGGCGAAAGCGACUUCCUGGACCAAUACUGACGCUCACGUGCGAAAGCGUGGGGAGCAAACA